RNAcentral lists this ribosomal RNA (612 nucleotides) under Triticum aestivum (bread wheat). RNAcentral's name for it is "partial small subunit ribosomal RNA". Lineage: Eukaryota; Viridiplantae; Streptophyta; Magnoliopsida; Poales; Poaceae. The record is from RNAcentral.
CCUGUUUUAUUGCCAUUUAUUAAAACAGGCACCAAGAUACUUCGAUACCGAUUGGUAAAACUGAAGAACACGUAUCUUAGGUGAUCAGUCGAAACUCAUUCUUAAGUAAUCGGGUUCAGAGUAGUAGACCUGCUCUACCAUUCAAAACGACACUUCUAUAAUGUGAAUGCUCCCUCACAUGUACUCCAUGAACUCUCGUCCCUUCUGUACCUUCUGCGCGAAACCGUGGUCGAGUUUUAACGUCACGGGGUAUAACAAGUACUUCAGCUACAUGCACUACAUGUUCUGUUGUCGGUCCUGUCUUGGUGUCGGGUAUUUUUAACCACAGUAGUACCCCUAGCUUUUAUCGUCCUUUAUUUGGUGCACAAGUCGUUUACCUACCUACUGUCGACGGUUAAUAUUCCAAUACCCGAGACACUGCUACCUCCGCACCACCACACUCACCAUCGCUCUCAUCUCCUUUACCACCACGUCGCGGGACACCUUGGUCAUCAUGUCCUUGAGCUGUCCAGGAUACACUUCGUUCCGCCACUACUACCGAGGCAGACAAGAGGUGUGGCCGUACGCUGACUGUAAGCCCUGCCGACGCAUCCGGUCCAUCUUCUUGUCGGG